Long non-coding RNA from Balaenoptera musculus (blue whale), 420 nucleotides. RefSeq lists it as uncharacterized. The transcript is spliced from 3 exons. Lineage: Eukaryota; Metazoa; Chordata; Mammalia; Artiodactyla; Balaenopteridae. The record is from RefSeq and is a predicted model, not a curated record.
GCGGAAAGCACAACCCGGAAAGGUGGAAAGAUUAUCUCCCAGUUGGACAGCGGAUGCCUGGGACUCGUUUCAUUGCUUUCAAAGUUCCUUUAAUACAGAGUUUUGAAAAGAAUCUUGCUCCAGAAGAAUGGUUUUCCCCCUUGGAUCUUUUUUAACAAAAUCCAAGACCAGAAUGAAGAACUUGGGCUGAUUAUUGACUUAACAUAUACUCGCCGCUCUUAUAAGCCAGAGGUAAAUGGAACCGGUAAUUGAAAAUGACCUUCUUUCUGAUACUGUAAUAAUUCAUAGUAAUUCAGUAGUUAUCAUCUUAUGCUAAGGUGAAUCCUUGCCUUCUUUCAUGGAUUCAAAAAGGGAAGCUAGUGGUUUCCUUAAAUACACAUUUCUAAUUGCUGUUUCAAAAUGAGAUUAAAGAUAUGAAUU